GUGGGGAAUCUUGCACAAUGGGGGAAACCCUGAUGCAGCGACGCCGCGUGAACGAUGAAGCCCUUCGGGGUGUAAAGUUCUUUCGACAGGAACGAUAAUGACGGUACCUGGAGAAGAAGCUGCGGCUAACUACGUGCCAGCAGCCGCGGUAAUACGUAGGCAGCGAGCGUUGUUCGGAGUUACUGGGCGUAAAGAGUGCGUAGGCGGCGAGCCAAGUUUGGUGUGAAAUCUCCCGGCUUAACCGGGAGGGUGCGCCGAAAACUGGUUGGCUGGAGUAUGGGAGAGGACAGCGGAAUUCCUGGUGUAGCGGUGAAAUGCGUAGAUAUCAGGAGGAACACCUGCGGUGUAGACAGCUUUCUGGACCAAAACUGACGCUGAGGCACGAAAGCGUGGGUAGCAAACA
RNAcentral lists this ribosomal RNA (403 nucleotides) under uncultured bacterium. Its description in RNAcentral is "bacterial SSU rRNA". It matches the Rfam family "Bacterial small subunit ribosomal RNA", at positions 354 to 774 of the family's 1533-position model. The record is from RNAcentral.